Ailuropoda melanoleuca (giant panda) is the source of this 784-nucleotide non-coding RNA. Lineage: Eukaryota; Metazoa; Chordata; Mammalia; Carnivora; Ursidae. The record is from the annotation of a RefSeq genome assembly.
AGCUCAGUAACGGUGUGUGGGCCCCGUGAGGCACGGGGCAGGCAUUUAGAUCCGAGUUUGAGACAAAGCAGAGCACAUCUCACUCAGAGGACUCGCUUCCAACAUGCUACUCCCCAGCCUGCUGAGAGCAGUCAUAGCCUCCAUCUGCCUUGGAUCCGGCAUGACGCAGAAGGUGACUCAAGCCCAGCCUGCCGUUUCUACGCUGGAGAAUGAGGCUGCGACCUUGGAUUGUGUAUAUGAAGUUAGUGGUUCUAGUUAUUAUUUAUUCUGGUACAAACAACCACCAAGCGGGGAAAUGAUCUUCCUUAUUCGUCAGGACUCGUACAGCGAGCAGAAUGCAACAGAGGGUCGGUAUUCUUUGAAUUUCCAGAAAUCAGACCGUUCCAUCAGCCUCACCAUCACGGCAUUACAACCUGCGGACUCAGCAGUGUAUUUCUGCGCUCUGAGAGACACCACAGUGAUGCGGCACCUGUGGGAGCCCCACAAAAACCUCAGAUCUCCGCAGGAGGCAUCCCCAGCUCUGAACACCUGGGAGGGUGGCAGACAGGAAGGAAGAAGCAGGGGCUGCGCCUGGCGGGGGUUCUAAGGUGGACGCUUCACUCGAAGGAAAAUGCGAUUUCUCUGGCGCAGAGAACAUAUCAAACAGUGUCAUUCAACAAAAGCAUUUUUAUCUUCAUUUCUUUACUUUGCAGUAGAUCAUUUAGCAAAAGAUUAAAAAAAAAGUUGUUGGUGAUGAUUACAUUAAAAUGCAAGACUCAAAAUCUAAAUGGCUUCCCUGUUUCAA